This 301-nucleotide ribosomal RNA is filed under the name uncultured bacterium. RNAcentral describes it as "partial 16S ribosomal RNA". It matches the Rfam family "Bacterial small subunit ribosomal RNA", at positions 509 to 807 of the family's 1533-position model. The record is from RNAcentral.
CAGCCGCCGCGGGAACACGAAGGGGGCUAGCGUUGUUCGGAAUUACUGGGCGUAAAGCGCACGUAGGCGGCUUCUUAAGUCGGAUGUGAAAUCCCUGAGCUUAACUUAGGAAUUGCAUUCGAUACUGGGAAGCUAGAGUAUGGGAGAGGAUGGUAGAAUUCCAGGUGUAGCGGUGAAAUGCGUAGAGAUCUGGAGGAAUACCGAUGGCGAAGGCAGCCAUCUGGCCUAAUACUGACGCUGAGGUACGAAAGCAUGGGGAGCAAACAGGAUUAGAUACCCCCGUAGUCCCUGUCUCUUAUAC